GCUACAGUUACGGAACAUCAAAACAGUAUCAUCAUCAUCAGUUUCAUAAAUUCAGAUUCUACAUUCCUUCCGCAGAAGUUAUUACUGUUGGGCGCACUGUACCCUCUGUGCACCACCAGGCAUAUCAUCAUCCUCCUCAUAUGCUUCCUGAGCAGCUUGUUGCUGCCUCCUCCUAGACUCCUCAUCCAUAUUGACAUCAUGAAGUGUGGUCUCCUCACAUUCGUCCAGCUCCAUGUCUGUUAACUGAGAAGGCUGCUUUGGGGGCAGAACGGCUUCCAAAGCCUUAACCUGAUCAGGAUUUAGAAAAUCUGGGAAUUCCACAGUGAAGUGAAGAUAAAGCUUCCCCUUCAUGAAUGGCCUCUGGUACAUGGGCAUCCCCUCGUCAUUAAUAGCCUUGUAUGAAUCUGCAUGUGUAGACCUUACAAAAGUUAAUGAUCACAGAUAAAUAGAAACCUAAAAGGAUUACAUGUGAAUCAUUUAUGUACCAGGUUUCACAACUUCCCCAGGAUUUGAUUUGAUAAGAAGCUGACGGCCAUCCAAGUGGGUCAGGACAAAUUGGAAACCACACAAAGCCUCAGUGAGAGACAAGGUGUGCUCAACAAAAAGAUCUUCAGCCUUUCUUCUGAAUUUAGGAUGCUCCUUCUGCUGAAGCACAAAGACAAUAUCCCCAGUAAUUGUGUCCGGCUGCACACACAAACAAUCAUUAAACGUCAGAUAAACUAUGUAAUCAAUAAUCAUAAACUAAAUGCCAAUAAGUAUCACAGCAUACCGCUUCAUCAGCUUCACCAGGGAAUGUAAUCUUCUGCCCAUUCUGCAUCCCCUUUUCCACAAUUACUUCAAGAACUUUCUUCUCCUGCAC
This 859-nucleotide long non-coding RNA is filed under the name Vigna radiata. RNAcentral describes it as "long non-coding RNA (VRAD_LNC001581)". Lineage: Eukaryota; Viridiplantae; Streptophyta; Magnoliopsida; Fabales; Fabaceae. The record is from RNAcentral.